This is a long non-coding RNA of Drosophila yakuba, 451 nucleotides long. RefSeq lists it as uncharacterized. Lineage: Eukaryota; Metazoa; Arthropoda; Insecta; Diptera; Drosophilidae. The transcript is spliced from 2 exons. The record is from RefSeq and is a predicted model, not a curated record.
UAUCUUUUUUAAGUCAGUUUGCCUUUAACCAAAUCAGUACUUUCAGUAACAGUUUAAAACAGAGCAUUUAAGCAUAUGUAUGUUGGCCAAGAUAAUUGAGUGAACCACUGAGCCGCACUUCUUGCACUGAUGCCUUCCACACCGCUCCUUGAGCGGUCUUGGGAUCUGGGGCGCGGGCUCAAGAAUGCUGUCCGCGAACUUCCUGAUCAUGUGUCCCAUUUGCCUACGCGCUUUUGGGUCAGACUCGUCGUACUGACCGGCCUCGAUUAUGUCGGCUUGAAGAAGACGUACUCCUUUAUGAUGAUGAUUUACUGACCUAAUACGAACUUGGGAACACAGGAGCCGCGUUUUAAGAAUUCAAGUAAUAUAGCGCAUGACAGAUACAAAAUUGAUUAAUUAAAUUUCUGUGUUAUGUUCAUGUACAUUAAAAUAAUAAUAAUGGUUAACGAAA